This 657-nucleotide ribosomal RNA is filed under the name uncultured Alphaproteobacteria bacterium. Its description in RNAcentral is "bacterial SSU rRNA". It matches the Rfam family "Bacterial small subunit ribosomal RNA", at positions 1 to 683 of the family's 1533-position model. The record is from RNAcentral. Lineage: Bacteria; Pseudomonadati; Pseudomonadota; Alphaproteobacteria.
GCCCUUAGAGUUUGAUCCUGGCUCAGAACGAACGCUGGCGGCAGGCUUAACACAUGCAAGUCGAACGAGAAACCCUUUCGGGGGUGGACAGUGGCAGACGGGUGAGUAACGCGUGGGAAACUACCCAGAGGUACGGGACAACCAUUGGAAACGAUGGCUAAUACCGCAUACGCCCCCCUUAGUGAAAUUUGGGGGGGAAAGAUUUAUCGCCUUUGGAUGUGCCCGCGUAAGAUUAGUUUGUUGGUGGGGUAAUGGCCUACCAAGGCUACGAUCUUUAGCUGGUCUGAGAGGAUGAUCAGCCACAUUGGGACUGAGACACGGCCCAGACUCCUACGGGAGGCAGCAGUGGGGAAUAUUGCGCAAUGGGGGCAACCCUGACGCAGCCAUGCCGCGUGAGUGAAGAAGGCCUUAGGGUUGUAAAGCUCUUUCGCCGGGGAAGAUAAUGACGGUACCCGGUAAAGAAGCCCCGGCUAACUCCGUGCCAGCAGCCGCGGUAAUACGGAGGGGGCUAGCGUUGUUCGGAAUCACUGGGCGUAAAGCGCGCGUAGGCGGAUUGAUUAGUUGGGGGUGAAAUCCCGGGGCUUAACCCCGGAACUGCCUUCAAUACUGUCAGUCUUGAGUUCGUGAGAGGUAAGCGGAAUUCCGAGUGUAGAGGUG